RNAcentral lists this ribosomal RNA (354 nucleotides) under uncultured bacterium. Its description in RNAcentral is "bacterial SSU rRNA". It matches the Rfam family "Bacterial small subunit ribosomal RNA", at positions 29 to 368 of the family's 1533-position model. The record is from RNAcentral.
AACGAACGCUGGCGGCGUGCCUAAGACAUGCAAGUCGUGCGGAAAGGCUCCUUCGGGAGUACUCGAGCGGCGCACGGGUGAGUAACACGUGGGUAACCUACCUGAGGGUCUGGGAUAACUCCGGGAAACUGGGGCUAAUACCAGAUGAGACCACAGCGUCUUCGGGCGCAGCGGUCAAAGAUGGCCUCUCCUUGGAAGCUAUCGCCUACAGAUGAGCCCGCGUCCCAUAGCUAGUUGGCGGGGUAACGGCCCACCAAGGCGACGAUGGGUAGCUGGUCUGAGAGGAUGAUCAGCCACACUGGAACUGAGACACGGUCCAGACUCCUACGGGAGGCAGCAGUCGGGAAUUUUGGG